Molecule: non-coding RNA, 699 nt
Organism: Heterocephalus glaber (naked mole-rat)
Lineage: Eukaryota; Metazoa; Chordata; Mammalia; Rodentia; Bathyergidae
Source: RefSeq, a predicted model, not a curated record
UACACACACACACACACAGAAUGACAUCCUACCUUUCCAAUCUUAUGGGGUCACAAUGCCUAUGACCUGUUUGUUUGGAAAUCAACUUUUACCUGUCACCAUGAUUAUUGGCUCACAGCAUUCUUGCCCACACUGUCUCCUAUCUUACCUACUUAUUAGUCCUGAAUCAGCCCUCUCAGAAUGUUGACAUUGAAACGCUGCCACCAUCUGGCCAGAUGGCCAGUCCUUCCCAUUGGCAGCUGCCAGGGAAACUGCAUGUACUGUAAUCAUUAGACUGAGGGACAAAGUCCUACAUAGAUGAGCUUCAAAAUUGUGAACUAUUUGUGUCUGUGUACAUUAGGCACUUGGUACCAGGGAUCGAAUUCAGGACCGGAACCACUGAGCUAAAUCCCCGGCCCUGACUGGUUCUUCUUGAAAUUGUCUUUACUAUGCUACUUUCAAACACAUGAUCUUGGAAGGAGAUCUCGAGUCUCACAUGAGACUCCCAACCCUCAUCAGCCCCUUGGUUUCAGCCUAUGGAUAUGCUGAGCAGAGAACUUAGUUGAUCCCUGCCUAGACUUCAGAUCUACAGAACUGUCAGAUAAUGAAUCUCAGCAUUUCUUUAAGGCGCUAACUUUGUAGUAAUUAGUUAUGCAGAAAUAGAAAAGCAACAAAAUGUUUCUACUGGUGGAUAAAUCAUUCAAUUUUUGUUUGUCUGAA